GUCAUGGGAAGGGUACAGAAGUGAAGAGGGUUAGGUGGGGUACCAAAGGCAUAACGCAUGUUAUCACAGAUACAGUAUGCGAUCAUCACGGACACCGUGAGGGUGUUAGACAGUACAAUGUACAAAAUACAAAUAUGAACAUGUAUAGUAACAUAUCCUCUGAUCCUUAACGUGCGGUCAUGGGUCUCUUUCGCUUGUAUCGUGUUCAAUGUGGUUUGGCGGUGUCGAUCUGCAGUGUUGGCAUGGUUGGUAGUCUUUGGUUAAGGGAGGGGGGGGAGGGGGAAUGCGGGGGGUAGGGGGGAGAGUGAAUGUUUGGGGUUGAUGUGUGGUGUGCAUGAAUCAUGUUGUGGUUAAGGAGUGGGUGCGUGGACAUGGAUUGGAGUGGCUUCUUCCGUGCCUCUGGAGGAGGGAGUUGUGUCUCUCGAUUCUGGUAGUGCUUUGUUAUGCAUUUCAGCGUGGUUUGUUUCUGUCCCAUAUGUCCCAAGCCUCAGUCCAGUAAGAUUUGUUUUGUGCUGGUUUUCUCGCUGCCAUUUCGUAAGAUUUGGAAGUUUCUAUAGCUGUAAUGCACUGGCUGAUCGUGGGGGCAGUGGGUUGUUUCCAUUUCCUGCUUAUGACGGUGAGAGCUGCUAUGCAGAUGUGGUAUAGCAAGUACCUGGUGUGAAUGUGAGGUGUUUGGGGGAGUAGUAAUAGUAGAUAUAGUUCAGGUAUCAAAGUAAUUUGCAGUUGGGUGCAGCGGAUCGUUAGAUUUAGGACUUGUGACCAAAACUGUUUCAGCAGUGGGCAUUGCCACCAUAUGUGCAGCAGGGUACCUCGGUCUCGCUGGCAGCGCCAGCACGUGUCUGACACGUUCGGGUAGCUGUGUUUAAGUCUCGUUGGUACGAGAUACCACCGGUACAUCAAUUUACGGGAGAGUUCUGUGUGUGAUGUGCAGAGGGAUAGCUUGUUGUUGGCGCGGAAUAUAUAUUGCCAUUGUUCAUCAGUGAGUUCAUGCCCUAUGUCUUUUUCCCAUGCUAUCCUAUAGGAGGGUAUUUUGCCGUGGGUGUCUGUCUUUUCAGAUGUGUAAAUUGUUGAGAUAAUUUUUGUUGCCGGUUUCGUCUUGGUGCAUAUCUCUGUCAGUUUAAGCCAGUGUGGAUCAGGUGGGUGUACUGUUUGUUGCGAUUUAUGUAGGUUUAUCCAUGAUUGUAGCUGGUUAUAGGAGAAGGUCGCUGUCGUUGGUAUUCGGAAUUCUUCACAUAUAUCCUUGAAUUGCUUGAGUUUGGUGCCCUGCAACACCUGCGACAGCGUGUGGAUGCCAUGUCUGUGCCAAAGUUUGUGGUUGAAAUUUGGGAUAAGGUGCUGGAUCGAUUCUAUUGGGGUUGCCGGUGAGAUAGGUGACAUGUUCCCCUUAUUUUUGCGGUAGUCAUCCCACACAGAGAGAGUAAGUGUGGUUGUCGGCAGCAUUUCUGGCGCUUUGGGUCUGUGUUUCGGUGGCAUCCAUGCCACGGCGGGGAGUGAGAUGCCGUCGGCUCUAUGUUUCUCCAAUUCGACCCAUGUCAUGGGAGUCGAGCGGUGGGAAGCUGCAAUAAGUGGAGCAAUUUGCGCAGCUCUAUAGUAACCUUUCACAUCUGGUAGACCCAUCCCUCCUUGGGCUCGUGUGGCGACCAUCGUGUUCAGGGCUACUCUUGGUUUUUUGUAGUCCCAUACAUAAUCAUUUAUUGAAUUUUGCAGGUCCUUUAAGUACUUGUUGGGGAGCUUAAGUGGGAGCGUGCGGAACAUGUACUGGAUUUUCGGUAGGAUUACCAUUUUUACGGAAGCUAUUCGGCCCGUCCAGGAUAUGUACUUGCCCCUCCAGCUGUGCAGCAGAGUUCGAAUUUCUGUGAGGAGUUUGAUAUAAUUGGCUUUAUAUAGGGAGUUCGUGGAUGGUGUGAAGAGGAUGCCUAAGAAUUUGAUAUGAUCUCGUCUCCAAUCAUAGUUGAAAUUGGUUUUGAGGAGCAAUAGUUCUUGAUUGGGGAUGUUGACGCCUAGGGCGAGUGUUUUGGAGAUGUUCAAUUUGUAGUAAGAGCAGGCGCUGAAUUGGGAGAGGAUUUUGUGGAAAUUGGGCAGGGAUAUGUGCGGUUGUUCUAAGGUGAGAAGGAUAUCAUCCGCAAAUAAAGAUAGUUUAUAUUCUCGGUUUUUGAUUUUGAUCCCGUGUAUAUUGGGGUUGUCUCUGAUCAGUUGGGUAAGGGGUUCUAGUGUCAGGAUGUAGAGGAGGGGGGAAAGGGGGCAGCCCUGUCUGGAGCCAUUGGAGAUGUGGAAUGGUUUCGAUAUAAAUCCCCCGUUCACUACCUUGGCUGUUGGGGAGGAGUAAAGUGCCGUGACAAGCGCUAAAAAUUGAGGGGGAAAAUCGAAUUUUCGGAGUACUGCCAUUAGGAAGGGCCAGUGUAGCCUGUCAAAGGCUUUUUCAGCGUCUAAUGAUAAUAGAACGCUGGGGGUUUUAUUCCGUUGGAUCUCGUAGAGUAGGUCUAGUGUUUUCCUUGUGCCGUCAGUGCCUUGUCUACCACCCACGAAUCCCACCUGGUCUUCCUGUAUCAGAGAGGGUAUGAUAUGUGCUAACCUGUUGGAGAAGAUUUUCGCUAUGAUUUUUACGUCCGUGUUUAACAGGGAGAUAGGGCGGAGGUUUUGACAUCUGUUGGGGGGUUUCCCCGGCUUAGGGAGGGUGGCGACGUGGGCCAUUAGCAUCUCUUUUGGCAGGUGGCCUGUCAGUGUGGCGUGGUGGUAUACCCUUUGUAGGUAGGGGGCCAGGAGUGGCGCGAAUUGCUUAUAGUAGGCAUUGGUCAUGCCGUCAGGGCCUGGUGAUUUCCCGGGGGGUAAGGAGUUAAUGGUAUCCAGUAUUUCUUGUGUGGUGACUUGAAGUUGUAUGGCAUUCUUUUGUGUUUCAGUAAGAGUAGGAAGCUGAGUCUUCGCAAGAAAUUCUUCGAUUUCUAUUGUGUUUGGUUGGUGUAGAGUGGGAUCUGUGCAAAGGUUAUAUAGAGAGUGGUAAUAGUCAGCCAUGUUGUCGUUGAUGUCUUGCGGGUUGUAUAUUUUGUCGCCCUUGGCGGUAAACAAGUGUGGAAUUUUAGAGUUACAUUGCUGCUUUUUAAGCAUAGUGGCCAGAUGUUUCCCAGCUCUGUUGCCUUGGGUGUAUGUUCUCAUUUUCAGUUUGGCAAGGAUGUGGGACGUUUUUUCCAAAGAUAAUGCGUUAAGUUGUUUGGUGAUUUCUUGGAUUUCCUCAGCGUGGGCUGUGGAGGGGGUUAGAAGGUGAGCCGCGGUGGUAUCUCUCAGUUUACGCAGGAGAUCUGUGUGGUGUUUUUCUCGCUCACGUUUCAGGUGGGAUGCACGGCUGAUUAUUAAGCCUCUCAUCACCGUUUUAUGGGCUUGCCAUAUUGAGAAUAUGGAGACAUCUGGGGUGUCAUUUGUCUUGAAAAAUUCUUUUAAGUUUGUUGCCAGUAGCGUUGUGAAUGUUUGGUCAUAGAGCAAUGACUCGUUGAGGCGCCACGGCGGCUUACCUCGGUGUUGAUAGGCGGAAUGUAGGGUCAUUGUUAUCGGGGCAUGGUCAGACCAUACUAUAUUGCCGAUGGAGCAGUUUUCUAUGUGUGGGAGUAACGUGCCUGAGGCAAGGAUGUGGUCUAUUCUGGAGAAGGUUUUAUGUACUUGUGAGAAGAACGUGUAUUCUUUUUCUGAGGGGUGUUUUGUUCUCCAAACAUCGUAUAAGCUAUUUUCAUGGAUGAGCUUGGUGAAAGCCUUGGUUUGGGGCCUGAGAGUGUGGUGCCUUGUCGACGUGUUUGGAAUGGUUGAGUCCAUAUGUGUGUCCAUGACGUGGUUAUAGUCGCCACAUAUGAUCUUGGGGUCAUUCACACCCUCGGGUAGCUUGGCGAGAAUUUUGUGUAAGAAGUUACGUUGUUGUUCGUUUGGGCUAUAGAGGCAUACUAUGACAUAUGGGUGCUCAUUUAUUCUACAGUGUAGAAUUAUGUACCGUCCCUGGUUGUCUUUUUUGACCCUAAGAGUUUCUACGGUUAGAGAGUUAUGUAGCAGGAUGGAUACGCCUCUGGAUUUGGAGGUGUGGGUGGCGUGGUGUUGCGUGGGAUAUUCCCUGAGGGCGAAGGUUGGGACUUUAGUGGAGACAAAGUGCGUUUCUUGUAUGCAGACAAUGUCCGCCUUGGUUUGUUUGAUAUCAUUGAGGAGCAUGCGUCGUUUAUGUGGCGUGUUCAGGCCUUUGGUGUUAUGCGAGUAGAUUAGCAUGGUCGUUAUUGUGUGUUAUGAGGUUUGGGGAAUUUGUCUGGAAUGUGUGCAAGCCGGGUUGGUUGGUGUGUGAUUCUCUGCGUUGAUAAGCGUUGGAGGGGGUGGGUGGGUUGCAGGAGUGUGGGGAAGUAAUGAGUAGGAGGGGUUAUGUACAGGACCUAUUGGUCUGGUACUCUAUGUGUACCUGGGGGAUAGGAGCUAGAGCUUCCGGAUACGUGGCUAAGCGGGCUCCUAGGUGAUUCUUAAUAAAGUUGAGCUGAAAACACAUAAG
Pelobates cultripes (western spadefoot toad) is the source of this 4507-nucleotide non-coding RNA. NCBI's taxonomy places the organism in Eukaryota, Metazoa, Chordata, Amphibia, Anura, Pelobatidae. The record is from the annotation of a GenBank genome assembly.